Molecule: ribosomal RNA, 468 nt
Filed under: uncultured bacterium
Lineage: Bacteria
Description: partial 16S ribosomal RNA
Rfam family: Bacterial small subunit ribosomal RNA
Source: RNAcentral
GACGAACGCUGGCGGCGUGCUUAACACAUGCAAGUCGAACGGAAAGGCCCUGCUUUUGUGGGGUGCUCGAGUGGCGAACGGGUGAGUAACACGUGAGUAACCUGCCCUUGACUUUGGGAUAACUUCAGGAAACUGGGGCUAAUACCGGAUAGGAGCUCCUGCUGCAUGGUGGAGGUUGGAAAGUUUCGGCGGUUGGGGAUGGACUCGCGGCUUAUCAGCUUGUUGGUGGGGUAGUGGCUUACCAAGGCUUUGACGGGUAGCCGGCCUGAGAGGGUGACCGGCCACAUUGGGACUGAGAUACGGCCCAGACUCCUACGGGAGGCAGCAGUGGGGAAUAUUGCACAAUGGGCGGAAGCCUGAUGCAGCAACACCGCGUGCGGGAUGACGGCCUUCGGGUUGUAAACCGCUUUCGCCUGUGACGAAGCGUGAGUGACGGUAAUGGGUAAAGAAGCACCGGCUAACUACGUG